Molecule: ribosomal RNA, 423 nt
Filed under: uncultured bacterium
Lineage: Bacteria
Description: bacterial SSU rRNA
Rfam family: Bacterial small subunit ribosomal RNA
Source: RNAcentral
UAAGGAAUAUUGGUCAAUGGACGCAAGUCUGAACCAGCCAUGCCGCGUGGAGGAUGAAGGCCCUCUGGGUUGUAAACUUCUUUUAUAGGGGACGAAACCUCUUUUUCUUGAGAGACUGACGGUACCCUAGGAAUAAGCACCGGCUAACUCCGUGCCAGCAGCCGCGGUAAUACGGAGGGUGCAAGCGUUAUCCGGAUUCACUGGGUUUAAAGGGUGCGUAGGCGGGCAGGUAAGUCAGUGGUGAAAUCUCCGGGCUUAACUCGGAAACUGCCGUUGAUACUAUCUGUCUUGAAUUCUGUGGAGGUGAGCGGAAUAUGUCAUGUAGCGGUGAAAUGCUUAGAUAUGACAUAGAACACCAAUUGCGAAGGCAGCUCACUACACAGCGAUUGACGCUGAGGCACGAAAGCGUGGGGAUCAAACAGG